AAUGUUGAUUUCAGCAUUUUAUUUAUUUAUUUAGGCCUAUUUGUUUUGCAUCUGAGCCACAUAGGAACGGGUCCAGCUCAAAAACUACAACACCUAGACCAGUAUGCCUAACUCCCUUCUCUGGGGGCUGGUAUCCAGCAUGUUUUAGUUGUUUCCCUAAUCUAACACACUUAAUUCACCUGUUCAGCAGCUCAUCAAGCUCUGCAGAGGCCUGUUAAUCACCUGCUGAUUAAAGCAGGAAAAACAGUAAAACAUCCUGGUUACCGUACCAACGGGGAAGGGAGUUGGAGACCACUGACCUGGAGCCUUUGAACCUGACUACAUUGUUGUCAUAGCAGAAACCAUUGUUUGUGAUUUGUGAGACCUUUUUUUUGAUUUGUGGAAAACAGUGUUUUGCUUGAAUUUUACAAUUUUUUUUUUACAAAAUGUACAAAACUGAAACUAUUGUUGCCUGGAUGGGCAGCUCUCUGGGUGCUCAGCACCCCUAAACCUCUGAUGCUAGAAUCGACCCUGGUGAAGCAUAAAAACGUGUUAAAGAGAACAAUCAAAGAGAAUAAGUUUAUGAAAAUAACAGAACAACUAAAAGAACAAAAACCAAACACUGUGUGUUUCACAGUGGCAGCGGACCUGUUAACUGACUUGAAAAGCAGCUAAUUUAUGAGCUGUUAACGUGCUUCCACUACGUCCUUUUAAAUCGGGCACAGAAUAAAAGCAUUGCAGGGAGAGGAACACACUCACUGGACAGCGCAGCAGAGAGAGGACGGGUGCUCCAGCGCUCUCACCACAGCAGCUCUACGCUGAGAAACAGGGCAGGAUACACGACACCCCAUCUAAUCAGAGGCAUCAUGGCUGCUGGGUUGUCAUCAGGAAUUUUGCUGCUUUUGUUGCUUUGCUGUUGGCAUUUUUCCGCAGCCAAAGAAGGAAAAUCUACUAAGAAGGGGAAAAAAGGGAAGCAGGUCGUCUGCCCAUCGUACGUAAGAACGUUGUUUUAUCCAAAUAAACCCAAUUUUUAAGUUAGGUUGUUGUUGACUUUUAAAAAUGCAAUGAGGCAAAAUGAUGAGAGUUCAUACUCCACAUGGCCACAAGGGCAGCAGCCCCUGCAGGUGAGCCUAGACCAUCCUGUCCUCAGUCCCCUCCACAAUAACCAGUGGCAUCCCAGAUGUUCUCAGGCCUGCCUUAACCUCUUUAGCAUUUUGCUGGUUGGACUUGCCUGAAACACCUUCCCUCAGGAGGUGUUCAGGACACCACAACUGGUUCCUCCUCAACCAUUGCCUUGGUAUGAGACCAGCCAUCCUGCUGAGCCUUUUGGUCAUUAGUAAAAUCUCAUGCCCUCAGGUAAAGAAUGACCUCUAUUCCAGAAUAGAGGUCAUUUGACAGCUUUGCUUUGUGUCUCAGCUCCCUCCCCGCCACACAGUGGCGAUUUUACCAUUAGGCAUAGGUCAGCAUGGGGCCCCCUUGUGUUGGGGGGCCCCCUAGCCCUGACCGCCGGCACCCCUCUGUUAAUGCCACAAUAUUCUUAUUACCAAUCUGUCACCGCAGACGGGAUUGGACAUGCUUCUCAUUACCAUAAUUCCUGAAUUUAAAAUUCCAAAAGUGCUGAAAAGAUUAAAAAUGGGGCUUUCCGUGCAUAUACAAUACAUUACGGUAGCCACCGGGAUUCCCUGUCUUGAGCACAACGAAUCACAACAGACGUGCUGAGUUUGUCAUCCAAAAAGCUCCAUUAUAACUUUUGAAUGGCUGAUCAGAUUCAAAAAAUUCCAACGGUUCCUAAAAAUACAUAAAAGCA
Molecule: long non-coding RNA, 1786 nt
Organism: Nothobranchius furzeri (turquoise killifish)
Lineage: Eukaryota; Metazoa; Chordata; Actinopteri; Cyprinodontiformes; Nothobranchiidae
Source: Ensembl